AUUGAUCAUCCGGCCGUCCACCUCGUGAGCCGAGAGCAGGUUUUCCAUGACAUGAUGGUGGCGCCUAAUUUUGCUGGUCGUGUGUGCCGGAUAUCGCGAUGUCAGCAGAUCGGCAUGAAAUGCUGUCGAGAAGGGAGAAGGCCACAAACUUCAAACCAGACUAUGAUAUUGAUAUCCAUAUGAAGGUCUUAGCUAUGAGUGGGCAAGAAUCCAGUAUUCUUACAGGCUACAAACUGAAGUGCUGAUACGGUGGUAGGAAAUGAGAUGAUGAUGGGUAUUUUUGGUGCUUCAUUUGCAUGUCCAGUACCAUAGCUCAUAACCUGCUUGCCUCUAGGAAUGUUGCGAACAACGAUUUCACUGGUUAGAUUCCCAAUUAGCUUAAGAAGAUAAACAAUAUACAGACUGAUGGAAUUCUUGGAGCAAAGGACCAGC
RNAcentral lists this long non-coding RNA (432 nucleotides) under Zea mays. RNAcentral's name for it is "drought responsive lncRNA". The record is from RNAcentral. Lineage: Eukaryota; Viridiplantae; Streptophyta; Magnoliopsida; Poales; Poaceae.